GAUGAACGCUAGCGGCAGGCCUAACACAUGCAAGUCGAGGGGUAUUAGGAGCUUGCUCCUAGGAGACCGGCGCACGGGUGCGUAACGCGUAUGCAAUCUACCUUGUACAGGGGAAUAGCCCAGAGAAAUUUGGAUUAAUGCCCCAUAGUAUAAUUGAAUCGCAUGGUUUAAUUAUUAAAGUUCCAACGGUACAAGAUGAGCAUGCGUCCCAUUAGUUAGUUGGUAAGGUAACGGCUUACCAAGACAAUGAUGGGUAGGGGUCCUGAGAGGGAGAUCCCCCACACUGGUACUGAGACACGGACCCGACUCCUACGGGAGGCAGCAGUAAGGAAUAUUGGACAAUGGUCGGAAGACUGAUCCAGCCAUGCCGCGCGAAGGAUGAAGGCGCUCAGCGUUGUAAACUUCUUUUGUACGGGAACAAAAUGCGACCUGCGGGUUGUACUGAGGGUACCGUAAGAAUAAGCACCGGCUAACUCCGUGCCAGCAGCCGCGGU
This 494-nucleotide ribosomal RNA is filed under the name uncultured bacterium. Its description in RNAcentral is "bacterial SSU rRNA". It matches the Rfam family "Bacterial small subunit ribosomal RNA", at positions 28 to 521 of the family's 1533-position model. The record is from RNAcentral.